RNAcentral lists this ribosomal RNA (467 nucleotides) under uncultured bacterium. Its description in RNAcentral is "partial 16S ribosomal RNA". It matches the Rfam family "Bacterial small subunit ribosomal RNA", at positions 28 to 507 of the family's 1533-position model. The record is from RNAcentral.
GACGAACGCUGGCGGCGUGCUUAACACAUGCAAGUCGAACGGAAAGGCCCUGCGUUUGCGGGGUGCUCGAUUGGCGCACGGGUGAGUAACACGCGAGUAACCUGCCCUUGACUGUGGGAUAACUUCAGGAAACUGGGGCUAAUACCGGAGAGGAGAUCCUGCAGCGUGGGGGGGGAUGGUAAGUUUCGGCGGUUGGGGAUGGACUAGCGGCAUAUCAGCUGGUUGGUGGGGUUGUGGCUUACAAAGGCUUGGACGGGUAGCCGGCCUGGGAGGGUGACCGGCUCCAGUGGGCCUGGGAUGCGGCCCGGACGCCUUCGGGCGGCAGCGGUGGGGACCAUACGGCAAUGGGCCGCGGCCGGAUGCAGCAACGUCGCGUGGGGAAUGACGGCUUUCGGGGUGUAACCCGCUUUCGCGUGUGACGAAGCGUGAGUGCCGGUACUGGGUAAAGAAGCACCGCCUACUACGUG